GUAGGGGACAAGCGUUAUCCGGAUUUACUGGGCGUAAAGCGCCCGUAGGCGGCUUUUUAAGUUGGACGUGAAAGCUCCCGGCUUAACUGGGAGAGGCCGUUCAAAACUGAGAGGCUAGAGUGAGGCAGAGGAGCGCGGAAUUCCCGGUGUAGUGGUGGAAUGCGUAGAUAUCGGGAGGAACACCAGUGGCGAAAGCGGCGCUCUGGGCCUAAACUGACGCUGAGGGGCGAAAGCGUGGGGAGCGAACGGGAUUAGAUACCCCGGUAGUCCACGCCGUAAACGAUGGAGACUAGGUGUAGGCGGAUAGAACCCCGUCUGUGCCGAAGCCAACGCGUUAAGUCUCCCGCCUGGGGAGUACGGCCGCAAGGUUAAA
This 373-nucleotide ribosomal RNA is filed under the name uncultured bacterium. RNAcentral describes it as "bacterial SSU rRNA". It matches the Rfam family "Bacterial small subunit ribosomal RNA", at positions 527 to 898 of the family's 1533-position model. The record is from RNAcentral.